RNAcentral lists this non-coding RNA (27 nucleotides) under Rattus norvegicus (Norway rat). The record is from RNAcentral. Lineage: Eukaryota; Metazoa; Chordata; Mammalia; Rodentia; Muridae.
UGAGGACUGCAGAUACAGGUUAAUUUC